UUUGAUCCUGGCUCAGGAUGAACGCUAGCGGCAGGCUUAACACAUGCAAGUCGAGGGGUAGAAGUCUUCGGGCUUUGAGACCGGCGCACGGGUGCGUAACGCGUAUGCAAUCUGCCUUUCACAGAGGGAUAGCCCAGAGAAAUUUGGAUUAAUACCUCAUAGUAUAACACAACCGCAUGGUUGAGUUAUUAAAGUCACAACGGUGAAAGAUGAGCAUGCGUCCCAUUAGCUAGUUGGUAAGGUAACGGCUUACCAAGGCAACGAUGGGUAGGGGUCCUGAGAGGGAGAUCCCCCACACUGGUACUGAGACACGGACCAGACUCCUACGGGAGGCAGCAGUGAGGAAUAUUGGACAAUGGGCGCAAGCCUGAUCCAGCCAUGCCGCGUGCAGGAUGACGGUCCUAUGGAUUGUAAACUGCUUUUGCACAGGAAGAAACAGCUCUACGUGUAGAGUCUUGACGGUACUGUGAGAAUAAGGAUCGGCUAACUCCGUGCCAGCAGCCGCGGUAAUACGGAGGAUCCAAGCGUUAUCCGGAAUCAUUGGG
Molecule: ribosomal RNA, 545 nt
Filed under: Flavobacterium sp. DB2.4-10
Lineage: Bacteria; Pseudomonadati; Bacteroidota; Flavobacteriia; Flavobacteriales; Flavobacteriaceae
Description: bacterial SSU rRNA
Rfam family: Bacterial small subunit ribosomal RNA
Source: RNAcentral